RNAcentral lists this long non-coding RNA (1501 nucleotides) under Ovis aries (sheep). RNAcentral's name for it is "lncRNA (ENSOARG00000026289.1)". Lineage: Eukaryota; Metazoa; Chordata; Mammalia; Artiodactyla; Bovidae. The record is from RNAcentral.
CAUACCUAAAAUUUUGGCCAGAAUUUUAAGUAUUCACAUAUGUAUUUUCAAACGGUACAAGCUUCUCUGGCUUUAGGACCAAUGUUUGAAAGUGUUACAGUCUGGCCGGUGAAUAUAUGUACAUGUGAAAGUUGAGUUACUGGUUCAGUCAAAUCCUAGCCUGCAAGAAGAGGACAGAGUCUUGAAAGCAGGAGAGAGAGAAAGAGAUCAAGAAAGAAAGACUCUUCAGAGCAGGAGCCAAAGGGAGAAGAUAUGUUUUUGCUAUAUAGACAAACCAGAAACACAAAUAAUUACCAGCCUUUGGUUAGUAAGGAAGUUGCCCAGCAGCGCCUCCUACAAGGGUGAAGGAAACCUGAAGUGCAGACCACCAAGGUGGUUGAGGAGAGGCCAGCCUGGCUUCCUGAAGCCUGAGGGCCUGCUGAGAACACAUCACAACCUGGUGAGUUUAAACCAUUUUCUGUUCAGAAAGGAACACCUACCGAGCUGUGACAUCAGGACCCAUCAGCCGGCGCUGGAGCAGAUGACUAUGAGUGCUUGGACCCAAAUAACCGGAGAAGAACGGCCUCUAUCCCGGCUGAACCACCUGUCCCCAAGGCAAUUCCGCACCUCCAGGGCAGGUGUCAGAGCUUCAGGCCACGGCCUCUUGGCCUGGGCCGUGGCUCUAUGUUCUUCAGAGCCAAUACAAUGCAGCUGCACGUGUUCACCAGGCACCUUCCCGUCUAGUCAACCCUGACCCUCCAGUCCCGGGCCGCGCUGGACACUGCCUUCACCCUCCACCAAUGCCAGGGCCUCUCAUGCAGGACACAGAUUUCUCAGUCUGACUUUGGCUGCUGGUUUGCCUUCACUUGACUCUCAGUGCUGGGUUUUCACUCACUGGUGACAGCAGCCAGCCCUUCCUUUCCCUCCACUCUCACUUCACCCCUACUCCUUGCCUGUGUGUUUUUUAAGAUGAUAGUAAUUAGCAUUGUUAUGACAACAGCCAACAUCUAUUCAGUGUUAAUAAUGUGUUUUACAUAUGAUUACUUCUCUAAGCCUCACGAAAUUCAGUGAGGUAGACAUCACCUUUUUAUAAGGAAAUUUAAACAGAGAGAGACAACAAAAAUCCCCAAGGUCAUAUAGCUAACGGAUGGAAUUGUCGGAGCUUGAACCCAGGCAUUUUCCCUCAAGGACUUGGGCUGCCGAUCUGACUGGAUUUCCACACGUACCCUCCUCCACCACACCCCCCACCCACGACCUCGAUGUUUUCUUUGUGACAACAGAUAUAAUGGCAAAUAUAACUGCAACCAAUGGAUGGCAUCACUGACUCGAUGGACAUGAGUUUGAGCAAGCUCAGGGAGUUGGUGAUGGACAGGGAGGCCUGGCGUGCUGCAGUCCAUGGGGUUGCAAAGAGCUGGACACGACUGAGUGACUGAACUGAACUGAACUGAUAGUUGCAACCAGGAAAUAGGUCACUACUUGUUUCUACUGUCCAACUCAAAUUUAGAUAAGGAGGCCCAAGGCA